UACGGAGGGUACAAGCGUUGUCCGGAUUUAUUGGGUUUAAAGGGUGCGUAGGCGGCCAAUUAAGUCAGGGGUGAAAGACGGUAGCUCAACUAUCGCAGUGCCUUUGAUACUGAUUGGCUUGAAUGUACUUGAGGUAGGCGGAAUGUGACAAGUAGCGGUGAAAUGCAUAGAUAUGUCACAGAACACCGAUUGCGAAGGCAGCUUACUAAAGUGUGAUUGACGCUGAGGCUCGAAAGCGUGGGGAUCGAACAGG
RNAcentral lists this ribosomal RNA (253 nucleotides) under uncultured bacterium. RNAcentral describes it as "partial 16S ribosomal RNA". It matches the Rfam family "Bacterial small subunit ribosomal RNA", at positions 524 to 776 of the family's 1533-position model. The record is from RNAcentral.